UGAAUGCGUGUGUGUGCGUGUGUGAAAGUCUGCAAAAGGCUAUCUCAAACCUGACUUGGGAUUGGUUGAUUCAGUUAUUCUUUGCUCCUCAAUUUACACAGGAUUGGGUUCAGGGGGGUUUGCUUCGAAGAUAUUCCUACUCUUCAGCCGUUUGAUUUUGUUUUUCUCUCUUUUCAUCGUUUUAUAUUAAUAUGGUCUAUCAGCCUACAUUGACAAUUUUAAUUCAACGGAUUCGCGAGUUAGGUCUUUCUUUGACAAUAUCGGUUCAAGGUAUUGAAGCUCUACUUGCCGCGAACACUUUUGAAGCGAACCACCCUUUGGCCAGUGCCUCCCGAAAAUACCAAUUCCUCCCUUAGGCUCAGUACUGAUAAACUUCGACUUUAAACGGGGGC
This 392-nucleotide small RNA is filed under the name Histoplasma ohiense. RNAcentral's name for it is "hypothetical lncRNA". The record is from RNAcentral. Lineage: Eukaryota; Fungi; Ascomycota; Eurotiomycetes; Onygenales; Ajellomycetaceae.